GGAGGAGUCUUAUUCUUCAACAACCAUCUCCCAAAACCUAACACAGACUAAUCUCUCUGGAAAAAAAUUGGAUAUUUUAGUUGAUAAACAAUUGAACAGUAGUUUUGCAGAAAUGGUUUAUGGAAAGACAACAAAAUCAGAGGUCCAACGGUUGCUCUACUUCAGCAAGCCCUUGUCUAAGACCAUCUAAGAAGACUUAAAAAAAUUCAACUUGGCAAAGGAACUUAUUGGUUUACAUUGUCAGAGCACUUAUGAGUUAUGAUAGUGCUGAUGGCAGUAAUCUACUUCGAGAUCUGGUGAAGGGGGAGCCUACAUGGUGAAGGAGACCUUAAACAUGUCUCCGGCGACUCCUCUUAUUUUCCUCUGCGUCAUCUUCUCAUCCACCACAUGCUCAGUCUCCCUUAUUAUCCCUCUUGUCUCCUCACUUCGACACAAACCACCAUGUGAUCACGGCGCACCAAAAUUUCAGCCACCACACCCGUAGUUGUUAUUCCUAACUCCCCCCCAUAUCGAUCUCUGCUGUGAUGGCUAUUGCCGUUUUCUCUAAUUAUUGGAGGGGCUCCACUUAUCAGCUUUGGUUACAAUAUAAAAAAACUCAGAGAAUGGAAUGAUAUAGUCUCAUGUAGAAGUAGUAGCUGCCAC
This 642-nucleotide long non-coding RNA is filed under the name Brassica napus (rape). Its description in RNAcentral is "long non-coding RNA (BNAP_LNC025877)". The record is from RNAcentral. Lineage: Eukaryota; Viridiplantae; Streptophyta; Magnoliopsida; Brassicales; Brassicaceae.